GACGAACGCUGGCGGCGUGCUUAACACAUGCAAGUCGAACGGAAAGGCCCUGCUUUUGUGGGGUGCUCGAGUGGCGAACGGGUGGGUAACACGUGAGUAACCUGCCCUUGACUUUGGGAUAACUUCAGGAAACUGGGGCUAAUACCGGAUAGGAGCUCCUGCUGCAUGGUGGGCGUUGGAAAGUUUCGGCGGUUGGGGAUGGACUCGCGGCUUAUCAGCUUGUUGGUGGGGUAGUGGCUUACCAAGGCUUCGACGGGUAGCCGGCCUGAGAGGGUGACCGGCCACAUUGGGACUGAGAUACGGCCCAGACUCCUACGGGAGGCAGCAGUGGGGAAUAUUGCACAAUGGGCGGAAGCCUGAUGCAGCAACGCCGCGUGCGGGAUGACGGCCUUCGGGUUGUAAACCGCUUUCGCCUGUGACGAAGCGUGAGUGACGGUAAUGGGUAAAGAAGCACCGGCUAACUACGUG
Molecule: ribosomal RNA, 468 nt
Filed under: uncultured bacterium
Lineage: Bacteria
Description: partial 16S ribosomal RNA
Rfam family: Bacterial small subunit ribosomal RNA
Source: RNAcentral